CUUGGUCAUUUAGAGGAAGUAAAAGUCGUAACAAGGUUUCCGUAGGUGAACCUGCGGAAGGAUCAUUAUAGUAUUCUAUUGCCAGCGCUUAAUUGCGCGGCGAUAAACCUUACACACAUUGUCUAGCUUUUAUUAACUUUGCUUUGGGUAGAAAGCAAUUUCUACCCAGAGGUAUUAAACACAUUUUUUUAAUGUUCAAACCUUUAACCUUUAGUCAUGAAAUUUUUAACAAAAUAAAAAUCUUCAAAACUUUCAACAACGGAUCUCUUGGUUCUCGCAACGAUGAAGAACGCAGCGAAAUGCGAUAUGUAUUGUGAAUUGCAGAUUUUCGUGAAUCAUCGAAUCUUUGAACGCACAUUGCACCCUCUGGUAUUCCAGAGGGUAUGCCUGUUUGAGCGUCAUUUCUCUCUCAAACCUUUGGGUUUGGUAUUGAGUGAUACUCUGUCAAGGGUUAACUUGAAAUAUUGACUUAGCAAGAGUGUAUUUGUUAGUACUUCUUCUGAAAUAAUGUAUUAGGUUCUUCCAACUCGUUAUAUCAGUUUGAUAGUUUCUUCAAGUAUUUAGGCUCGGCUUAACAACAAUAACAUAAAGUUUGACCUCAAAUCAGGUAGGACUACCCGCUGAACUUAAGCAUAUCAAUAAGCGGAGGA
RNAcentral lists this ribosomal RNA (650 nucleotides) under uncultured fungus. Its description in RNAcentral is "eukaryotic LSU rRNA". The stretch from base 248 to 401 matches the Rfam family "5.8S ribosomal RNA". Lineage: Eukaryota; Fungi. The record is from RNAcentral.